CUGGCAGUAAUAGAAACUGAAGUCCUCUUUUUGUAUCCACAGGAUAGCUACAGUUAGGCCACUCCAGUGUGAGCCUCUCCAUGCUGCCCCAUCAAUGACCUGGAGGGACUUUCUUCCCUCUCUUAGAGAAGAUGUCCCGUCUCCAUAGCAGCUCAGUUCUGGUCCUCU
RNAcentral lists this small RNA (168 nucleotides) under Canis lupus dingo (dingo). RNAcentral describes it as "TUC338 (ENSCAFG00020025492.1)". Lineage: Eukaryota; Metazoa; Chordata; Mammalia; Carnivora; Canidae. The record is from RNAcentral.